GUUGUCCCUUCUCCCACUCCAGUUCUCAUCUUAGGAAUCUUGUCUUCAAGCUGUUAUCUUUCUCCAGCUUUUAAUAGAGAGACAGAGAGUUGGAAUGGACCCCACUGGCCAUUUUGGGAAUCUAAGGCCCAUGGAGGUUACAUGAUUUGCCCAACUCACAGAGAGUCAUCUAAGUCCAGGAGCAAGAUAAAAGUCAGACUGACUUGCGAUGACCGGGUUGGAAUCUUCAAUGUCUGACCAAACUCUCAGAGCUCCACAGCACCUACUUUAGCUGCCUUUGGGACUCCUGAAAUAAAUUGUUCUCAUCUGCCCAUUCCUAACACAUCUUCAGAGACUGUUUUACUGAGUUGUGGCUGCUAUGCAUGCAACAGCUUCUUGUAGCCACAGUUCACAGGUUCACAGCAUCCCUGGGGAAAUACCGGUGUUUAAAUGACAGGCUUUUGCAUAAGCAAAUAAUUUGGUAUUCUUCAAAUCUCCACAUGGUUUACCAAAUGAGAUCCUGGAUGGCUUAG
RNAcentral lists this long non-coding RNA (512 nucleotides) under Monodelphis domestica (gray short-tailed opossum). RNAcentral's name for it is "lncRNA (ENSMODG00000030746.2)". Lineage: Eukaryota; Metazoa; Chordata; Mammalia; Didelphimorphia; Didelphidae. The record is from RNAcentral.